AUGUAUCUUGCAACUACUGCAUGAACGUUGCCUGACUCUUGUGCGGGGUUUUCUCCUUCAUUCAUUUCCUGGGUUAAUGGCUAUGAUAAUUGGAGCCAGUUGUCUGACAACUUGGGGUAAACUUCAGAGAUACUGCUAUAAGUCUUCCUGCUUGUUACUCUGUGGAGAUAAUAAAAGGGACCCCAUGGACCUAUGAUUAUUUGAAUAGCUGGACAAUGGAAUGGACUCCUCAACAACUGUUAGGUCUAGAAGAUGUUUUAUGGCACAUAGAGGUCCUUGAUAAAUACACAGGAACUACAGGGAUGAGGAGAAUAAAUUAAAUGAACCAUGAGGAAACAGACAAAUCCAGAUGAGACCAGUUCUAGACUCUAAAAAGUUCAUGUCAUGCAGACUGUGUGCCGGCGGGGAUGUGGAGAAACCAGACCUCUCAUAUAUGGAAGAGAAGUUGCCUACAGUCAACCACGUUGUGGAAGCAGAUGAUACUCCUGAGGUAUCACCAGAAAGUCAAUAGUAGCUAAAUGCUGCAUCACAAGGCCAAUGUCAUUCACUUUACUUCAUCUCAUCACAUGGGCAACUUAUCACCUCACAUCAUCAUAAGAAAAAGGAAGCUGGAAUUUUACAUGCUUACGCACGGAUACCUAUCAAUCUUUGUCUUUUUGUAUUCUUGUGCUGUUGCUGUACUUCGAAAGGCCUUCUCAACUUUAAAAUCAACAUUUCCUGUGAGUGUCCAGCAGUAAGUAUAUAUGCUGAAUAAAUGCUUAUUGGUUGAAGAAACUAAAUAUCUUUUGUGUACAUUUAAAAGAACACUUGCUCAUCUGUCAAAAAGGCCCAGAGGCGCUCUGCAUCCAAGAAAAGCUCAGUAACCUUAGGGUGUAAGAGCUCACUUAAAAGAAAGAGCUUAUCCUGGUGCGUAACUGUGAAUAUGCACCAAGCAAAUUAUGAAACAUUCAAGGAAUAAAUACAUGGCCGCUGCCAGGCAGGUCUCGCGUCUGAAUGGAAUUUCACAAUCAAUGCUGACGGCCGACACGACAGUUCAAGGAUGGUUCUAGAGCAAUCUAGCCGACAGGCACAAAUGAGCAACAACCUGAGAAACUGCUGCCAAUGUGCCAGUAUCUUUCUACGAGGGAGGCAGUAGGAGAGCCGAAGAUAGAAGAGGAGGUGGCAUUGUGACUGUGGAUGCAGAGAUGGAAGCCAUGAGCCAUGCAAUGUGGGCAGCUACCGGAAGCAGGAACAGGCACGCAACGGAUCAACCCCUAUAACCACCAGAGAGGACACGGCCCUGGCCACGCCCUGAUUUGGGCCCAGGGACACUGAUCUCACACUUCCAGCCUCCAGAACUGUAAGAGAAUCAAUGUGUUUUUAAGUCACCAAAAGUAUGUGAUAAUUUUUUUUACAGCAGUCCCAGGAAAUUAAUACAGUCAGUGUGGGGUACAACUGUGAUGAUAGUUAAUGGAUACAAACCCAAACCCAAACUGCUAAUAAUAUUAGUACUGAUGACACCAAUGUUAAUACUAAUAGUGAACACAUGGUGUUUACCACGUGCUGGGUGCCGUUCAAAGUAUGUUGAGUAUAUUAACUCACAGCCACACUACGAGGUAGGUACUAUUUUUCCUUUCGUAGACGAGGAAACUGGAGCACAGAGGCCUGAGAGUCUCCCCUCCCCCUGCCCCCAUCGCCUUAAGUGUUGAAGCCGCGGAUGGAAGCGAGUGCUGUAUGGCUGACGGAUGCCAACAGCUACCUGCUGGUCAGGCAGAGGUGCAGUCUAGGAAUUACCCAGGAGUGAGUGAUGUUCUUCAAUUCUGGCAGCAGAGUUAAAAUGUAAAGUUUGUCUUUCCCAGUUGGGAAUAGCUCUUGUGCCUACUGAUUAAUUAUUCCAUUUGCUUGUUAUUCUGAAGGUACCUCAUUUAAAUGCACAUGAAUAGAUCAUAAGUAUGAAUAAAUAUCUUUGCUUUCCUAUAGAAUGUAAUAUGAAAUUUUAUAAAUCUCGAAGCACCUAGUAUUAAGUAAUGAUAAUAUAAUUACAUUACUGACAAAUGCCACCCAGUACUGCUGUGUUGGGGGCCCUAGGUGUAAUACAAACAAUGGUAAGGACACUGCCUCUGUCAACAACUUACAAUCUAGUUAAGGUGGUAAAGCAAAUGUGCAAAAUUAAUACAUGAUCUGCAGCCUAUAGACAUUAUAGGUGUCAGUGGGAAUUUUGGAGCUGAAAAAUUCUUUUUCUUAAAAAGUUUAUAUAUCUUUGA
This is a long non-coding RNA of Hyaena hyaena (striped hyena), 2243 nucleotides long. RefSeq lists it as uncharacterized. The transcript is spliced from 8 exons. The record is from RefSeq and is a predicted model, not a curated record. NCBI's taxonomy places the organism in Eukaryota, Metazoa, Chordata, Mammalia, Carnivora, Hyaenidae.